Molecule: ribosomal RNA, 313 nt
Filed under: uncultured bacterium
Lineage: Bacteria
Description: bacterial SSU rRNA
Rfam family: Bacterial small subunit ribosomal RNA
Source: RNAcentral
GACGAACGCUGGCGGCGGCGCCUAACACAUGCAAGUCGAACGAAGAAAGCGAUAGUUUACUAGAGCUUUCUUAGUGGCGGACGGGUGAGUAACACGUGAAGAACCUGCCUUACAGAGGGGGACAACAGUUGGAAACGACUGCGAAUACCGCAUAACAUUUGAGGGUGGCAUCACUCUUGAAUCAAAGGAGCAAUCCGCUGAAAGAUGGUCUCGCGUCUGAUUAGCUGGUUGGUGAGGUAACGGCCACCAAGGCGACGAUCAGUAGCCGGUCUGAGAGGAUGAACGGCCACAUUGGGACUGAGAUACGGCCCAG